AUGAGGCCGAUUUUCGCUGGGAACUUGGAGUACGAUACUCGUCAAGCGGAACUUGAACGCUUGUUCUCAAAGUAUGGCAGGAUUGAACGCGUGGACAUGAAAUCUGGAACUUCUACUAAGGGAAAAUAUGCUGAGCUUCUGUCUUGGCUUGCCAACCACUUUUUAUGGAAGGAAACCUUCCGCUCUCCUUCUAUCCACCAAUCUGCAUUUUCUCAUGUGAUCAUUCUUCGUCACUCACUAACCUCAUCACUCAUCACUCAUCAUUGA
This 267-nucleotide long non-coding RNA is filed under the name Vicia faba (fava bean). The record is from RNAcentral. Lineage: Eukaryota; Viridiplantae; Streptophyta; Magnoliopsida; Fabales; Fabaceae.